ACGGGAGGCAGCAGUGGGGAGUAUUGCACAAUGGAGGGAACUCUGAUGCAGCAACGCCGCGUGAGUGAAGAAGUGAUUCGUCAUGUAAAGCUCUAUCAAAUGGGAAUAAGAUGAAGGUACCAUAAUAAGAAGCCCCGGCUAACUACGUGCCAGCAGCCGCGGUAAUACGUAGGGGGCAAGCGUUAUCCGGAUUUACUGGGUGUAAAGGGAGCGUAGACGGAAUGGCAAGUCUGAAGUGAAAGCCCUAUGCUUAACAUAGGAAUUGCUUUGGAAACUGUCAAACUAGAGUACUGGAGAGGUAAGUGGAAUUCCUAGUGUAGUAGUGAAAUGCGUAGAUAUUAGGAGGAACACCGGAGGCGAAGGCGACUUACUGGACAGAGACUGACGUUGAGGCUCGAAAGCGUGGGGAGCAAACAGGAUUAGAUACCCUGGUA
This 434-nucleotide ribosomal RNA is filed under the name uncultured Lachnospiraceae bacterium. RNAcentral's name for it is "partial 16S ribosomal RNA". It matches the Rfam family "Bacterial small subunit ribosomal RNA", at positions 341 to 792 of the family's 1533-position model. The record is from RNAcentral. Lineage: Bacteria; Bacillati; Bacillota; Clostridia; Lachnospirales; Lachnospiraceae.